GGCCUUUAGCCCCCCAAGUAUUAAAGGUCCGACCUGCCCAGUGAGAAAUUUUAAACGGCCGCGGUACCCUAACCGUGCAAAGGUAGCACAAUCACUUGCCCCCUAAAUGAGGGCUAGUAUGAAUGGUUUCAUGAGGGUUUAACUGUCUUCUAGGACCAAUCAAUGAACCUGAUAACCCAGUACAAACGCUGAAAUAUACCCACAAGACAAGAAGACCCUGUGGAACUUUUAAGUAUACCAUUGACCCUAAUUUUAUACAGGCUCUCAACAAUCAACUUAAGUUGGGGCAACUACGGGGUAAAACCAAACCCCCAUGAAAUAUGACUAGCUAUUAUACAUUAGGCCCACACGCCACAUAUGUAUUGUUUGACCCAGUUCACACUGAUCAUCGAACCAAGCUACCCCAGGGAUAACAGCGCUAUCCCCUUAAAGAGUCCCUAUCGCCAAGGGGGUUUACGACCUCGAUGUUGGAUCAGGACACCCAGGCGGUGCAGCCGCUGCCAAAGGUUCGUUUGUUCAACGAAUAAAGUCCU
RNAcentral lists this ribosomal RNA (533 nucleotides) under Lygodactylus capensis (Cape dwarf gecko). RNAcentral describes it as "partial 16S ribosomal RNA". It matches the Rfam family "Bacterial large subunit ribosomal RNA", at positions 1817 to 2597 of the family's 2925-position model. Lineage: Eukaryota; Metazoa; Chordata; Lepidosauria; Squamata; Gekkonidae. The record is from RNAcentral.